CCUGGUUGAUCCUGCCAGUAGUCAUAUGCUUGUCUCAAAGAUUAAGCCAUGCAUGUCUAAGUAUAAACAACUUUAUACUGUGAAACUGCGAAUGGCUCAUUAAAUCAGUUAUAGUUUAUUUGAUAGUACCUUACUACUUGGAUAACCGUAGUAAUUCUAGAGCUAAUACAUGCGAAAAGACCCGACUUUUUGGAAGGGUUGCAUUUAUUAGAUACAAAACCAAUGGCCAGCAAUGGUCACACUUGGUGAUUCAUAAUAACUUUUGCGGAUCGCAUAGCUUUACGCUGGCGACGAAUCAUUCAAAUUUCUGCCCUAUCAACUUUCGAUGGUACGGUAUUGGCCUACCAUGGUUACAACGGGUAACGGGGAAUUAGGGUUCGGUUCCGGAGAGGGGGCCUGAGAAAUGGCCACCACAUCCAAGGGAGGCAGCAGGCGCGCAAAUUACCCAAUCCUGAUACAGGGAGGUAGUGACAAUAAAUAACAAUGCAGGACCUUUACGGGUUUUGUAAUUGGAAUGAGUACAAUUUAAAUCUCUUAACGAGCACCAAUUGGAGGGCAAGUCUGGUGCCAGCAGCCGCGGUAAUUCCAGCUCCAAUAGCGUAUAUUAAAGUUGUUGCAGUUAAAAAGCUCGUAGUUGAAUCUCGGAGUCCUUUUUUCUUCGGAAACGCCGAUGGUCGGAAACCCAGAGCCUCGAAAGGGGUGGAUGGGGCUGUUUACUUGAGGCAGGGCUCACAUCUGAGUUUCUCGAAGGUGGCCUCUGCUCUUCACUGGGUUGGGGGACUUUUUCACAUUCGAGACAUUUACUUUGAAAAAAUUAGAGUGUUCAAAGCAGGCAGUUUCGCUUGAAUACAUUAGCAUGGAAUAAUGGAAUAGGACUUUGGUCUUAUUUUGUUGGUUUCUAGGACUGAAGUAAUGAUUAAUAGGGACAGCUGGGGGCAUUAGUAUUUAAUUGUCAGAGGUGAAAUUCUUGGAUUUAUGAAAGACUAACUUCUGCGAAAGCAUUUGCCAAGGAUGUUUUCAUUAAUCAAGAACGAAAGUUAGGGGAUCGAAGACGAUUAGAUACCGUCGUAGUCCUAACCAUAAACUAUGCCGACUCGGGAUCGGUGAGCGUGUUUUUUUACUACCUCAUCAGCACCGUAGGAGAAAUCGAAGUUUUUGGGUUCUGGGGGGUGUAUGGUCGCAAGGCUGAAACUUAAAGGAAUUGACGGAAGGGCACACCAGGUUUGGAGCCUGCGGCUUAAUUUGACCCAACACGGGGAAACUCACCAGGUCCAGACAUCGUAAGGAUUGACAGAUUGAGAGCUCUUUCUUGAUUCGAUGGAAAGUGGUGCAUGGCCGUUCUUAGUUGGUGGAUUGCUCUGUCUGGUUUAUUCCGUUAACGAACGAGAC
This 1389-nucleotide ribosomal RNA is filed under the name metagenome. RNAcentral's name for it is "SSU rRNA". It matches the Rfam family "Eukaryotic small subunit ribosomal RNA", at positions 3 to 1341 of the family's 1831-position model. The record is from RNAcentral.